RNAcentral lists this ribosomal RNA (274 nucleotides) under uncultured bacterium. RNAcentral describes it as "partial 16S ribosomal RNA". It matches the Rfam family "Bacterial small subunit ribosomal RNA", at positions 523 to 796 of the family's 1533-position model. The record is from RNAcentral.
AUACGAAGGGGGCUAGCGUUGUUCGGAAUUACUGGGCGUAAAGCGCGCGUAGGCGGAUACUUAAGUCAGGGGUGAAAUCCCGAGGCUCAACCUCGGAACUGCCCUUGAUACUGGGUAUCUUGAGUUCGAGAGAGGUAAGUGGAAUUCCGAGUGUAGAGGUGAAAUUCGUAGAUAUUCGGAGGAACACCAGAGGCGAAGGCGGCUUACUGGCUCGAUACUGACGCUGAGGCGCGAAAGCGUGGGGAGCAAACAGGAUUAGAAACCCCAGUAGUCC